CAGUCGCCGCGGUAAUACGUAGGGUGCGAGCGUUAAUCGGAAUUACUGGGCGUAAAGCGUGCGCAGGCGGUUAUAUAAGACAGAUGUGAAAUCCCCGGGCUCAACCUGGGACCUGCAUUUGUGACUGUAUAGCUAGAGUACGGUAGAGGGGGAUGGAAUUCCGCGUGUAGCAGUGAAAUGCGUAGAUAUGCGGAGGAACACCGAUGGCGAAGGCAAUCCCCUGGACCCGUACUGACGCUCAUGUACGAAAGCGUGGGGAGCAAACAGGAUUAGAUACCCCAGUAGUCCCUGUCUCUUAUAC
Molecule: ribosomal RNA, 301 nt
Filed under: uncultured bacterium
Lineage: Bacteria
Description: partial 16S ribosomal RNA
Rfam family: Bacterial small subunit ribosomal RNA
Source: RNAcentral